This 5514-nucleotide long non-coding RNA is filed under the name Sus scrofa (pig). Its description in RNAcentral is "lncRNA (ENSSSCG00000053782.1, ENSSSCG00110027281.1, ENSSSCG00130019537.1)". Lineage: Eukaryota; Metazoa; Chordata; Mammalia; Artiodactyla; Suidae. The record is from RNAcentral.
GAUGAAGCAGCCAUGGUUGCAAGCCCUUGCCCCUCACCUGGACUCCCAGAAGCCUGAACUGGGUGGGGCAGCCGUAAUUCAUAGGGUCAUUGUGAGAGGGAACAGCUGGCCUGUCAGGUAGCAUUCUGCCUCUUAUUUGGAAACCCACUUAAGGCUGAGAAUACUGGUGCUCCAAAGGCAGCGAGCGCUCCUCCUGUCUGUAAUAUCCUUAGCUAUUAUCACAAUGAGUAUAGCACUUUAGGGGGUAACCCACUGAUACAGUCGAGCUUGACUCUGAAAUGUACAGUAAUGAACUGCAGCAGCUGUAGUGUUCUAAAUCAAAGAUUCCUAGCCCCAGUGAGGGCAUGGGAAGGGUAGUACAUCCUCUCUGUAAGUAGAUUCUUUGCCCAGGCAGCCUGCCUAGUACCUUAAAAGUAAAAUCCUAUUAUACCUGUGAAACCCCACAGUGAGGGUCAGAGUCAGACAACUGUCACAAAGCAACUUGGGCAAAUUCCUGGGAUGUCAGGCCACUACUAGAGCUUUCAGGGACAACAAUUAUCCUAUCUACUGAAUAUCUUGACAAGGACUAGAAAAAAGCACAGGUCACAGCAUAAAGAAUUGGCAUUCAUUAUUGUCCUCUUGAGUCACCUCCCAGGGCCAAUCAGAACAACAAAGUCAUGCACCUUGCAGAAAUUUCCACUUUUUUAAUCCAACUGAAGAAAUACACAGACCAGACAACAAACACAGUUUUUGGCAGACCCAAGCAAAUUUUUUAAAUUGUGAUUUCUACUGAGUUCAUCAGACAAUGCAGUAAUGAAAGGGGAGAUUUAGAGGCAGUAGAAAAUAGAGAAAGUCUGUUGUAGACGCUCUGAAAGCCCUGACUAUGUGAACGCAAAUUAACAUAAAACUUGAUCAAUUAUUUACAUGGCUAUGGAAUUUAUAACCUUCCUUAGUCUCCCAAAAGCAUUUCUUCAUCAGGAUUCCCUGAAACUCAGAGGGAUAGCAAGUGAAGAGAAUGAGGUCAGAGCUUCUGUCCAUUAACUGACAAGUCAUUCAUCCACAGAUUGACAAGGUAGAAUAGGACACAUCCUGAUGAGGAGACCCAAGGAACCAGAAGGUUUAGACUACCCAUUCUGCUUCUUAGAUGCCUUCCCUUUAAAAUGUUCAAUAAUAGUCCAGAUGACAGUCAGGAGGCAGGCAUUCCAGGGCUAAGCUGGAGAGAGCAAGCCUCUGUCUUCAGAACAGGAAGAGUGAUCAGAGAGACUCCACUAGGCAGUGUUCGUCCCACAACACAAGGGCCACGAAAUCACUAUUCCACAGACACAUGUUGGUUAGAACUGAAAUCAUCCAACUUCAAGCUCACAGCAUGAAGGAUGACAGCAGGAAGCAACUAUUUCCCUUUUCCUUCAUCAGAUUCCCAUCUCACGAUUAUUAUUCUCUUUUUUCCUCCACUUCCUCAAUAUUAAGGCUGAUAUGUUAAUAACCUGUCGACAUGUUGCCAUGAACAUUCCCAACAAAAAGCAAAUUAUUACAAAGAUUUACCCUUUUCCUAAAAUUUCCAAAAAUUCACACAGAAAAAUCAACACUAUGCUUAAAUAUUUCAGAUUAUACAUCAAUUGCUUACUUCACAGUGAACUCCUGGUCUGCAGAUGUUCUAUCCUUCUUCUUCCCCAAAAGCUCUCAUUGAUCUAGACAAGUUUUCAAAAUUUCUAGUGACUAAGAAUUUCAAGUUAUGUUGUCCUGUUAUAACAUGGAUCACCUAGGUUUCAUGAGAAAGCAUCUGAUUUUUUUUUCCUCCUGGUAAAUUCAAUCAUCUUUCUGCACUUAUUCCUGACUCCAUUGACUCUCUACCCUUAAAAUAUCCUUUGUGCCACGUUCUUUGUGAACACUUGUUACUCCUGGAUAUUGGCUGAGACCCUGCUCAUUUUUUUGAAUUGUGUUGCAGGAUUUUUGUCAUUUAAAUAAUAUCAUAGGAUAGUGUUGCUUAGGUGCAUUUGUUUGGGGAGAUAUCAAAGAGUUAACUUCAUUUUCCAUCUUCAGUUUAACAAAGCUCUCAGGGAGAUACUUCUACCAAUCUUAGAUUUUAAAAUUUCCCAAGUUUUGCAUUCACUCCAUGUUGACUACAGCAUAACAAUGCACCUUUUUUUUGGAUUAUGCUAAGAUAACUUCAGAAAAUUCAUAUUCUGUUCUUAUUCUGUUCUUUCAUGUGUAUUGAAAUUGAGUAGUUCUCAAGAUGACUAAAAUGAGAAAGGUUAAUUUUCUUCAUGAGCAGUGGACUGAAAAACAGCAUUCUUAUAAACUAUUAUCUUGGAUAUAGACUACCAGGAGUUUAAAAAAUAAUCAGUCUUUAUUGUGGGUCAUUCUUUCUCUUAUUUCAGACAUAUCACACAUAGCCCUGAAAGUGUUAUUCAGGAGUAUAGGUCUGUCCAUAGCACUGUCACCAGAGAUAUAGUGCCUGACCUCUGUGAGUUUAUAAUGGGCUAAAGAAAAGGAGAACGUUGGUGAUAAAGCACAAACUCCAAAAUUGAGUUAGAAUGACUCUGUGAAUUCAGUGGUACCACUUGGAGAUCGGUGGUUUAACCAAAUGCAAACUCCGGGUCUCCUACUAGAGUCCAGUUAAUACUUUUAGGUAUUAAACAAAACUCCAGUGAAAAGGAAGACUUUACUUUUUUUAAACAUUAAAUUAUAAAUUUUAAUAGGUAAUACAUUAAUAUGAUUUAAAAAAUUAAAAUAACAUAAACUAGAGUUCCCAUUGUGGCACAGUGGAAAUGAAUCCGACUAGGAACCAUGAGGUUGCAGGUUCGAUCCCUGGCCUUGCUCAGUGGGUUAAGGAUCCGGCAUUGCCGUGAGCUGUGGUGUGGGUCACAGACAUAGCUCAGAUCCCGCGUUGCUGUAGCUCUGGCAUUAGGCUGGCAGCUAUACUCCAAUUAUACCCCUAGACUGGGAAACUCCAUAUGCCACUGGUGCAGCCCUAAAAAAAAAGACAAAUAAAUAAUAAUAUAAAGUACUGUCCCUAUCCACUCCUUCCUGCCUGGCCUCCUCUCUACUAUUUAGUACUCUAGUUUCUCAGAUAUUUCCAAUGUUGUCCUAUGCAAAUACAAGCAAAUAUGAAUGUUUUAUUUUACAUACACACACACAAAAAUAGCUGACUCUGGACAAUUUUUUUGCACUUUGCUUUUUCCACUGAUAAAAAAUCCUGGAAAGCUUUCAAAUCAGGGUAUAGGGAAAUUUUUCAUUCUUACUGCCACAGAUUAUUCCAUUGACAGCUCACCCAUUGUGUGGAUGUACAGUUUAUUUCACCCCAAUUUCAUCUGGAUUCUGAAUUAUGGUUGUAAAGGCAACCCUAACUCUUGUUAGCUAAGGCAUUUGCAGCAAAGACAUUUUUUUCUAGGCAAACAAACUAAAAGAGUGAUUGUGAAAAAUUGAUAUUUGAGACUUGGGAAACAUUUCUUUUUAACUGGUCUCACGGAAAGGUCAGCCUAAGAAAGAUAAUCUAGACAUCUCAACAAGAUGACAGAUGCUGGGUCCUUUGGCUGUGUUUAUAUAAGAAGACUACAUUUUCUCUAAUCUGGUUUAAUCUUGGUGUGUUUGGUACACACACACAUGGACACAAUGCAUGUACUUUUCUGAGACUUCAGUUCACACAUAUUAAGGGGAAAGGGUGAUGGGUGACAGGUGAUGUACAUAGUGACAGUGCCUACCAAGAAUCAAGGAUACCGCAGUUCUUUAUUUCUCCCCAAAGCAGCUGCAUGUUGAAGUUAUCAGACCGAAUCAGGCUUAAGGGACAUUAAAUGUCAGGAGAGCAGACCUGCUAUAGAAAGCUGAUGGGAGCUGCGGGAACCUUUAGUAUCAAAUGUUCUCCUGUAUAAUAAUAGGCAGCAGCAUCAAUCUCAGAAAUGCUGCUACAAAUGUCAAAGAAAACCUUCCCCGUAUAUAGAUUAAAAUUGCAGAUAAAAACAGAGGACCAAAUCAAAGCCCGAGUGUUCCCUUUUUGAAAUCACCCUGCCAAAAAUGCAAUUUCUGAGUUAUCAAAAAAUAGAAUCUCUCAAACAGCAUUCAUAAAGUUUCACAUUUUGGUGUUAUCACAGAGGCUUAUAUUGAGAAAAUGCUAUUUCUUCCUUCCCUUCCCCUUCAAGGUUGAAGCAGCAUCCUAUCUUUUCUUUCUAACAAACAAUGUUUCCCUCAGAAUAGCCAGCUUGGAGGCAAACAGUACUGUGUUCUGCACAGCCAGAAAGCCACACUCCAGUGCACGUUUGCCAUCUCCUAGGAAAUCCCCCUUUGCAAAAGGAUCUGUGAAAUAAACUUUUGAAAGUGACCUUAUGAAGUCGACAUCAAUGACCCCUGAAUAAGAUUUCAUCUGGUGGAGGAAGUUAUACUCCAUAAUAAAAUAAAGUGUCAGCUGAGAAAUCUGGGUAUAAAAAAAUAAACAAUAGAGUUUGGAUUUAUAAGGCCUCUUUUGGAUGUGACAAUCCAGACAUUAAGCAUUAAGAGUUUGAUCUGUCAAGUAGAAGAUUAGGUUGGGAGAACUUUUUUCCCCUAGGAAAGGCAAUAUGAUGAAAAGAAAUCCUCAUCAGCUUUGGUUAAGGUACACAGACACACAUGUAUAAGCACACAUACCUAAAUAAAGCUGUACCGCCAGAAGAGACCUGCUGGGAUUAAUUUAGCAAUUUGCCACAGAUUCUAGAACACGGAAGCUCUGGGAAACAGUGACUCUCUUCCUUCUUCACACUUACACAUUAACAAUGACCCUAAUGCAUUUCCCUGACAAAAAAAUGUUCAGCACAAUGUCAUUUCCCCACUGUCACCCUCAAGAACACCUUGCUCAAUGAUAUCCCCACAUGACUCUGGAUAUGGAAAGGACUCCAUACAGGUUUUUUAUAAUCUGAAGGUAAGUUGUCGAGAUAGAGCUACAAGGGUUCUUAAAACAGACAAAGCAUUUCUGUUAGAGAUUUCAUUUGAUUUUCUGAUACUUUUCUGAGCUGUGCUACUAUUUUCCUAUGCACUUCUCGGACUCUCUUAAGCAUUCAUAUGUCUCAGUUUCCCUCUCUGAACAAAGUAUAUGGAGGAAGGUUUUUUUGAAGAGAAAGAGUCUUGGUGUUAUCACUGAGAUCAGAGCAGUUUCAAAGGUUCUCGGUUAAUCUCUGAUAAAUGUUCAAUAAGUGAUACUACUUGUGAACCAUGCCUUUGCCAUAGGCUGUCUCACAACUUGGAUAAUUGCUCUUACUGCUGUUAGGGUGGCAGUGCUAUUGUGACCAUUGUCACUUCAGACAUCAAAUCUUAAAGCAGUCAAUUGGAAAAAAAAAAGUGCUGGAGUUCCCGUCGUGGCACAAUGGUUAACGAAUCCAACUAGGAACCAUGAGGUUGCGGGUUCAAUCCCUGGCCUUGCUCAGUGGGUUAAGGAUCCGGCAUUGCCAUGACCUGUGGUGUAGAUUACAGACGCAGCUCAGAUCCUGUGUUGCUAUGCCUGUGGCAUAGGCCAGCGGUUACAACGCCUAUUAGACCCCUAGCCUGGGAACCUCCAUACUCCACGGGAGU